RNAcentral lists this ribosomal RNA (776 nucleotides) under Salmonella enterica. RNAcentral's name for it is "partial 23S ribosomal RNA". It matches the Rfam family "Bacterial large subunit ribosomal RNA", at positions 2158 to 2925 of the family's 2925-position model. RNAcentral also lists the same sequence under 1 other name. The record is from RNAcentral. Lineage: Bacteria; Pseudomonadati; Pseudomonadota; Gammaproteobacteria; Enterobacterales; Enterobacteriaceae.
UGAAGUGUGGACGCCAGUCUGCAUGGAGCCGACCUUGAAAUACCACCCUUUAAUGUUUGAUGUUCUAACGUGGACCCGUGAUCCGGGUUGCGGACAGUGUCUGGUGGGUAGUUUGACUGGGGCGGUCUCCUCCUAAAGAGUAACGGAGGAGCACGAAGGUUGGCUAAUCCUGGUCGGACAUCAGGAGGUUAGUGCAAUGGCAUAAGCCAGCUUGACUGCGAGCGUGACGGCGCGAGCAGGUGCGAAAGCAGGUCAUAGUGAUCCGGUGGUUCUGAAUGGAAGGGCCAUCGCUCAACGGAUAAAAGGUACUCCGGGGAUAACAGGCUGAUACCGCCCAAGAGUUCAUAUCGACGGCGGUGUUUGGCACCUCGAUGUCGGCUCAUCACAUCCUGGGGCUGAAGUAGGUCCCAAGGGUAUGGCUGUUCGCCAUUUAAAGUGGUACGCGAGCUGGGUUUAGAACGUCGUGAGACAGUUCGGUCCCUAUCUGCCGUGGGCGCUGGAGAACUGAGGGGGGCUGCUCCUAGUACGAGAGGACCGGAGUGGACGCAUCACUGGUGUUCGGGUUGUCAUGCCAAUGGCACUGCCCGGUAGCUAAAUGCGGAAGAGAUAAGUGCUGAAAGCAUCUAAGCACGAAACUUGCCCCGAGAUGAGUUCUCCCUGAGACUUUAGGUCUCCUGAAGGAACGUUGAAGACGACGACGUUGAUAGGCCGGGUGUGUAAGCGCAGCGAUGCGUUGAGCUAACCGGUACUAAUGAACCGUGAGGCUUAACCUUACA